AAUAUUGGACAAUGGGGGCAACCCUGAUCCAGCGAUGCCGCGUGUGUGAAGAAGGUCUUAGGAUAGUAAAGCACUUUAAGUUGGGAGGAAGGGGCUUAGGUUAAUACCCUGAAGUAUUGACGUUACCAACAGAAUAAGCAACGGCUAACUCUGUGACAGCAGCCGCGGUAAUACAGAGGGUGCAAGCGUUAGUCGGAAUUACUGGGAGUAAAGCGCGCGUAGGUGAUUCAGUAAGAUGGGUGUGAAAUCCCCGGGCUUAACCUGGGAACUGCUUUCAUAACUGCUGAGCUAGAGUAUGGUAGAGGGUAGUGGAAUUUCCUGUGUAGCGGUGAAAUGCGUAGAUAUAGGAAGGAACACCAGUGGCGAAGGCGACUACCUGGACUGAUACUGACACUGAGGUGCGAAAGCGUGGGGAGCAAAC
RNAcentral lists this ribosomal RNA (421 nucleotides) under uncultured bacterium. RNAcentral's name for it is "partial 16S ribosomal RNA". It matches the Rfam family "Bacterial small subunit ribosomal RNA", at positions 360 to 773 of the family's 1533-position model. The record is from RNAcentral.